Molecule: transfer RNA, 83 nt
Filed under: bacterium
Lineage: Bacteria
Also listed under: 4 other names
Description: tRNA-Leu
Rfam family: tRNA
About the family: Transfer RNA (tRNA) molecules are approximately 80 nucleotides in length.
Source: RNAcentral
GGGCGAGUGGCGAAAUGGCAGACGCGCUGGCUUCAGGUGCCAGUGUUCGAAAGGACGUGGGGGUUCAAGUCCCCCCUCGCCCA